This 71-nucleotide transfer RNA is filed under the name Bos taurus (domestic cattle). It matches the Rfam family "tRNA". From Rfam's summary of the family: Transfer RNA (tRNA) molecules are approximately 80 nucleotides in length. Their secondary structure includes four short double-helical elements and three loops (D, anti-codon, and T loops). Further hydrogen bonds mediate the characteristic L-shaped molecular structure. tRNAs have two regions of fundamental functional importance: the anti-codon, which is responsible for specific mRNA codon recognition, and the 3' end, to which the tRNAs corresponding amino acid is attached (by aminoacyl-tRNA synthetases). tRNAs cope with the degeneracy of the genetic code in two manners: having more than one tRNA (with a specific anti-codon) for a particular amino acid; and 'wobble' base-pairing, i.e. permitting non-standard base-pairing at the 3rd anti-codon position. RNAcentral also lists the same sequence under 5 other names. Lineage: Eukaryota; Metazoa; Chordata; Mammalia; Artiodactyla; Bovidae. The record is from Rfam by way of RNAcentral.
UCCCUGGUAGCUCAGUGGUAAAGAAUCCGCCUGCAAUGCAGGAGACCUGGGUUCAAUUCCUGGGUUGGGAA